UACGUAGGGUGCGAGCGUUAAUCGGAAUUACUGGGCGUAAAGCGUGCGUAGGUGGUUCGUUGUGUCUGUGGUGAAAGCCCCGGGCUCAACCUGGGAAUUGCAUUCGAGACUGAAUAGCUAGGGUGCGGUAGAGGGAAGCGGAAUUUCCGGUGUAGCGGUGAAAUGCGUAGAUAUCGGAAGGAACAUCAGUGGCGAAAGCGGCUUCCUGGACCAGCACCGACGUUCAGGCACGAAAGCGUGGGGAGCAAACAGG
Molecule: ribosomal RNA, 253 nt
Filed under: uncultured bacterium
Lineage: Bacteria
Description: partial 16S ribosomal RNA
Rfam family: Bacterial small subunit ribosomal RNA
Source: RNAcentral